RNAcentral lists this long non-coding RNA (236 nucleotides) under Elaeis guineensis (African oil palm). RNAcentral describes it as "long non-coding RNA (EGUI_LNC010250)". Lineage: Eukaryota; Viridiplantae; Streptophyta; Magnoliopsida; Arecales; Arecaceae. The record is from RNAcentral.
CUGCAAUAGAAUGGACACUAUGGGAGAUUAAUAGUUUUGAGAUCUUCGAUCAUCAAAGAGCUCGUCUUCUUCUUAGAGUCCUCAUUCUGAAAGUCAGAGUGCUCAUUCCAGAAGCUUGUAUAUUGCAUGCAUGUAAAAAUCAAUAUUGUAAAGUUCGAUAAAAAUUGUGUGAGCAUCAAAGAUCUAACAAUUAACUAGAAUCAAAGCAGAUCUACGGGUAGUGCAAGUUGUGUUAU